Gallus gallus (chicken) is the source of this 1112-nucleotide long non-coding RNA. Lineage: Eukaryota; Metazoa; Chordata; Aves; Galliformes; Phasianidae. The record is from Ensembl.
AAAUGGAAGGGCUCAGGAGUGUUCAUUGGUCUAGGAGCAAGUGAUACAGGAAAUUGCCUGUGAAGGCAAAACAGAAGGUAGCAUCUCCUUGCUUCCUUUUAUCUGCUCAUUUGAACUUGCAAGGCCUGAAAGAUGUGAACAAAAAGGAGGUCCUGCUGAGAUCCUAAAGCCAGAAACUGUUACUACAAAAGGAAAAAUGCAGAACGGCUGCAGAGAUUUCAUUGAAAAGUGACAAUCAGAAUCUUGCAAAAAUUUUCACUGAGGGAAAGCUGAAAGAAGUAGGAUUGCUCAGCCUAAUGAAGAGGAGAAUGGAGGAAUGAAACAACUCAUGCUUCCAGUAUACUGGUCUUCAUCAAAACCCACCUGGACACUUUCCCAUGCAACCUGCUGUAGGGAACCUACUUUAGCAGAGGGUUGGACUUGAUGAUCUGCAGAGGUCACUGCCAACCACUGUGAUUGUGUGAUCAUUAGAAGAGGAACAAUGAUUUUAUUGAGUUUUGUCAUCAGCUUGGGCCACAAUGGACCAGAAAGUACAACAAAGAAAAGAAGAUCAAACGAAUUUAUUUUUUUUCUAAAGCUAAUAGUAGUGAAAUAUCAUAGUAGUUUGCCUGGAGAAAGGCUAGGGAGACCCCACUACUGGAGGCUUUAGGGGUUGUUUAUUAUUAUUUAUCUGUCAGCACUGACAUGGGUAGACCUGAAUCUGUCAUGUUGCAUGAGGUUUGCUCCAGAUUUUGUGGUACUAUACUCUGCACCUGUAAAAUGAGUGCUGCAGCCCACUUUCUAUUUAUUAUGUUGUGAUGUGUGAUUGAAGAGCAGUAGGGCAGUACAUAAAUGCUCUGAAGUAUUAGGUUGUACACAGAAUUACAAGUUUUUAUCUCAAGGUUACUCAUUACUAUUCUCUUUGACCCAUCAUUAGCUUAUAGAGAAAGCUUACUCUGUAUUCUUCCAAGCCCUCAGUGGAUAGUUUUGAAAACAGAAGAAUAAUGAUCAAGAUGACAAAUAACAGAACAAAUAGUAUACUGUGACCAGUGAAUACUCUUUCCCUUUGACAAAUGUCCUUGUUUGCAUAUGAAUAUGUGUACAGAUAUAAAUAAAAGUAAUUUAUCAAACUU